UACAGAGGGUGCGAGCGUUAAUCGGAAUUACUGGGCGUAAAGGGUGCGUAGGUGGUUUUGUAAGUUAGGUGUGAAAUUCCUGGGCUUAACCUGGGGACUGCGCCUGAUACUGCAAGGCUAGAGUACUGUAGAGGAAGGUGGAAUUUCCAGUGUAGCGGUGAAAUGCGUAGAUAUUGGAAGGAACAUCGGUGGCGAAGGCGACCUUCUGGACAGCUACUGACACUGAGGCACGAAAGCAUGGGGAGCAAACAGG
Molecule: ribosomal RNA, 253 nt
Filed under: uncultured bacterium
Lineage: Bacteria
Description: partial 16S ribosomal RNA
Rfam family: Bacterial small subunit ribosomal RNA
Source: RNAcentral